RNAcentral lists this transfer RNA (69 nucleotides) under Pseudomonadales bacterium. Its description in RNAcentral is "tRNA-Met". It matches the Rfam family "tRNA". Rfam says of the family: Transfer RNA (tRNA) molecules are approximately 80 nucleotides in length. Lineage: Bacteria; Pseudomonadati; Pseudomonadota; Gammaproteobacteria; Pseudomonadales. The record is from RNAcentral.
CGCGGGGUAGUGUACGGUGCACGCGAGGCUCAUAAUCUUGCAGGCCGGGUUCGACUCCCGGCCCCGCAA